AACCAGAGAAAGGAAGUGAGGAGCAGCAGAAGCCGACGAAGGCCACACAUCCUCGCCUGAAGCUCGCCACGCCGGCGAUGGCGUUCGCGGCCUCCACCGCGUCCAUGAUGAUGUCGUCUUCGUCGCCGCGGCAGUGCCACCAUGGCGCCGGAGUAGGCUGGAGUGGGCCGAGCCUGACUUCCGUCAUAUUGGGCCGAUCCAAGCAUAUGAAUUUUGAGCCCAGCAUGUAAAAUAUUGUU
Molecule: small nucleolar RNA, 239 nt
Filed under: Oryza sativa (Asian cultivated rice)
Lineage: Eukaryota; Viridiplantae; Streptophyta; Magnoliopsida; Poales; Poaceae
Description: box C/D snoRNA J48.1
Source: RNAcentral